UCUCCUUGAGGGGCCUUAGCCUCUACCCAGGACUCUUCCAUGACCAGGAGGCUGAGGGCCCUCACAGGCGGC
Non-coding RNA from Myotis davidii, 72 nucleotides. The record is from Rfam. Lineage: Eukaryota; Metazoa; Chordata; Mammalia; Chiroptera; Vespertilionidae.